This 658-nucleotide ribosomal RNA is filed under the name uncultured bacterium. RNAcentral describes it as "bacterial SSU rRNA". It matches the Rfam family "Bacterial small subunit ribosomal RNA", at positions 587 to 1252 of the family's 1533-position model. The record is from RNAcentral.
GUCAGUGGUGAAAUCCUUCCGCUUAACGGGAGAACGGCCAUUGAUACUGUUAGACUUGAAUUAUUAGGAAGUAACUAGAAUAUGUAGUGUAGCGGUGAAAUGCUUANAGAUUACAUGGAAUACCAAUUGCGAAGGCAGGUUACUACUAAUGGAUUGACGCUGAUGGACGAAAGCGUGGGUAGCGAACAGGAUUAGAUACCCUGGUAGUCCACGCCGUAAACGAUGGAUACUAGCUGUUCGGAGCAAUCUGAGUGGCUAAGCGAAAGUGAUAAGUAUCCCACCUGGGGAGUACGUUCGCAAGAAUGAAACUCAAAGGAAUUGACGGGGGCCCGCACAAGCGGUGGAGCAUGUGGUUUAAUUCGAUGAUACGCGAGGAACCUUACCAAGGCUUAAAUGUAGAUUGACCGGUUUGGAAACAGAUCUUUCGCAAGACAAUUUACAAGGUGCUGCAUGGUUGUCGUCAGCUCGUGCCGUGAGGUGUCAGGUUAAGUCCUAUAACGAGCGCAACCCCUGUUGUUAGUUGCCAGCGAGUCAUGUCGGGAACUCUAACAAGACUGCCAGUGCAAACUGUGAGGAAGGUGGGGAUGACGUCAAAUCAUCACGGCCCUUACGCCUUGGGCUACACACGUGCUACAAUGGACGGUACAGAGAGCAGCCC